ACAAUAGUAUAGGAUUUCUCAAGGGUGGUCGGCUCACUCCCCGUUAGAAAGGGGGUGGUGCCGUAUGACAGUUUUCGAAGCGCUUAUGUUUGCUGUAGCUUUUUCUAGCUUAAUUGUUGCAAUGCUGUCAUUUAACCAAAAAAAUAAUCCACCCUUGAGUUAGCAGCUCGGUGGAUUAUUUCCUCUACUAGCUGACCCCUUUGAUGGAGCCUGCUAUUGUUAUACCGUUAGUGUACCCGCACUAACG
This 247-nucleotide small RNA is filed under the name Rummeliibacillus stabekisii. RNAcentral's name for it is "BsrG". It matches the Rfam family "BsrG". From Rfam's summary of the family: bsrE, bsrG and bsrH pair through intermolecular interactions with antisense sRNAs. SR4 interaction with the 3'UTR of bsrG RNA promotes bsrG degradation and inhibits its translation. SR5 also overlaps bsrG from nucleotide 163 to 52 (Rfam overlap check). The record is from Rfam by way of RNAcentral. Lineage: Bacteria; Bacillati; Bacillota; Bacilli; Caryophanales; Caryophanaceae.